Small nuclear RNA from Dermacentor silvarum, 183 nucleotides. RefSeq annotates it as U2 spliceosomal RNA. The transcript has a single exon. NCBI's taxonomy places the organism in Eukaryota, Metazoa, Arthropoda, Arachnida, Ixodida, Ixodidae. The record is from RefSeq and is a predicted model, not a curated record.
AUGGCCGACGCGGAUCAAAGUGUAGUAUCUGUUCUUAUCAGCUUAAUAUCUGAUACGGGUUGUAUUUAGGCCUAAGAUAUUAAACUUAGUUUUGGAAGUUGGCAGAGUGCUUGAAACCUGCUUCACCUACGCCGCGGGUCACUCUGGUAUUGCAUUAUCUUUGGGUGUUUUGGUCUACAGACA